GUGGGUAUAACUCAGUGGUAGGGCUCAUGCUCAGCAUGCACGAAGUCCUGGGUUCAAUCCCCAGUACCUCCA
RNAcentral lists this transfer RNA (72 nucleotides) under Camelus bactrianus (Bactrian camel). It matches the Rfam family "tRNA". Rfam says of the family: Transfer RNA (tRNA) molecules are approximately 80 nucleotides in length. Their secondary structure includes four short double-helical elements and three loops (D, anti-codon, and T loops). The record is from Rfam by way of RNAcentral. Lineage: Eukaryota; Metazoa; Chordata; Mammalia; Artiodactyla; Camelidae. RNAcentral also lists the same sequence under 2 other names.